CGGCAACAGCUCAAAUUUGAAAUCUGGCCCUUUCAGGGUCCGAGUUGUAAUUUGUAGAGGAUGCUUCGGCGAGAGCUCCCGUCUAAGUUCCCUGGAACGGGACGUCAUAGAGGGUGAGAAUCCCGUAUGUGAUGGGUUGCUCGAGCCAUGUGAAGCUCCUUCGACGAGUCGAGUUGUUUGGGAAUGCAGCUCUAAAUGGGAGGUAAAUUUCUUCUAAAGCUAAAUACCGGCCAGAGACCGAUAGCGCACAAGUAGAGUGAUCGAAAGAUGAAAAGCACUUUGGAAAGAGAGUUAAAAAGUACGUGAAAUUGUUGAAAGGGAAGCGCUUGCAACCAGACUUGUCCGCAGUUGUUCAGCCGGUCUCCUGACCGGCGUACUCUUCUGCGGCCAGGCCAGCAUCAGUUCGGGCGGUUGGAUAAAGGCCUCGGGAAUGUGGCUCUCUUCGGGGAGUGUUAUAGCCCGGGGCGGAAUGCAGCCAGCCUGGACUGAGGAUCUCGCUUCGGCAAGGAUGCUGGCGUAAUGGUUGUAAGCGGCCCGUCUUGAAACACGGACCAAGGAGUCUAACAUCUAUGCGAGUGUUUGGGUGUCAAACCCAUACGCGUAAUGAAAGUGAACGGAGGUGGGAACCCGCAAGGGCGCACCAUCGACCGAUCCUGAUGUCU
Molecule: ribosomal RNA, 662 nt
Filed under: Aplosporella javeedii
Lineage: Eukaryota; Fungi; Ascomycota; Dothideomycetes; Botryosphaeriales; Aplosporellaceae
Description: eukaryotic LSU rRNA
Rfam family: Eukaryotic large subunit ribosomal RNA
Source: RNAcentral